CCUACGGGAGGCAGCAGUGGGGAAUAUUGCACAAUGGGCGGAAGCCUGAUGCAGCAACGCCGCGUGAGGGAUGACGGCCUUCGGGUUGUAAACCUCUUUUAGCAGGGAAGAAGCGAGAGUGACGGUACCUGCAGAAAAAGCGCCGGCUAACUACGUGCCAGCAGCCGCGGUAAUACGUAGGGCGCAAGCGUUAUCCGGAAUUAUUGGGCGUAAAGAGCUCGUAGGCGGUUUGUCGCGUCUGCUGUGAAAUCCCGAGGCUCAACCUCGGGCCUGCAGUGGGUACGGGCAGACUAGAGUGCGGUAGGGGAGAUUGGAAUUCCUGGUGUAGCGGUGGAAUGCGCAGAUAUCAGGAGGAACACCGAUGGCGAAGGCAGAUCUCUGGGCCGUAACUGACGCUGAGGAGC
Molecule: ribosomal RNA, 404 nt
Filed under: uncultured Prevotella sp.
Lineage: Bacteria; Pseudomonadati; Bacteroidota; Bacteroidia; Bacteroidales; Prevotellaceae
Description: bacterial SSU rRNA
Rfam family: Bacterial small subunit ribosomal RNA
Source: RNAcentral